UACGAAGGGGGCUAGCGUUGUUCGGAAUCACUGGGCGUAAAGCGCACGUAGGCGGACCGUUAAGUCGGAGGUGAAAGCCUGGGGCUCAACCCCAGAACUGCCUUCGAUACUGGCGGUCUUGAGUAUGGUAGAGGUUGGUGGAACUCCGAGUGUAGAGGUGAAAUUCGUAGAUAUUCGGAAGAACACCAGUGGCGAAGGCGGCCAACUGGACCAUUACUGACGCUGAGGUGCGAAAGCGUGGGGAGCAAAC
RNAcentral lists this ribosomal RNA (250 nucleotides) under uncultured bacterium. RNAcentral describes it as "partial 16S ribosomal RNA". It matches the Rfam family "Bacterial small subunit ribosomal RNA", at positions 524 to 773 of the family's 1533-position model. RNAcentral also lists the same sequence under 1 other name. The record is from RNAcentral.